Molecule: ribosomal RNA, 491 nt
Filed under: Saccharomyces cerevisiae (brewer's yeast)
Lineage: Eukaryota; Fungi; Ascomycota; Saccharomycetes; Saccharomycetales; Saccharomycetaceae
Description: LSU rRNA
Rfam family: Eukaryotic large subunit ribosomal RNA
Source: RNAcentral
UACCUUCGGUGCCCGAGUUGUAAUUUGGAGAGGGCAACUUUGGGGCCGUUCCUUGUCUAUGUUCCUUGGAACAGGACGUCAUAGAGGGUGAGAAUCCCGUGUGGCGAGGAGUGCGGUUCUUUGUAAAGUGCCUUCGAAGAGUCGAGUUGUUUGGGAAUGCAGCUCUAAGUGGGUGGUAAAUUCCAUCUAAAGCUAAAUAUUGGCGAGAGACCGAUAGCGAACAAGUACAGUGAUGGAAAGAUGAAAAGAACUUUGAAAAGAGAGUGAAAAAGUACGUGAAAUUGUUGAAAGGGAAGGGCAUUUGAUCAGACAUGGUGUUUUGUGCCCUCUGCUCCUUGUGGGUAGGGGAAUCUCGCAUUUCACUGGGCCAGCAUCAGUUUUGGUGGCAGGAUAAAUCCAUAGGAAUGUAGCUUGCCUCGGUAAGUAUUAUAGCCUGUGGGAAUACUGCCAGCUGGGACUGAGGACUGCGACGUAAGUCAAGGAUGCUGGCA